AAGGGAGGGAGGAACACCUUGAGAGGAGUUGAGAUCCUGCUUUCUCUUCAGAAUGCCAUCUCUAGGAUGCCAAUGGGCUGUGUCUACAGUACUAUGUAGGAAAGUGCUGCAAGAGAGAGCCCAUUUUGCCUAAACAAGAACCACGAUUAUGUAAAGUUCUUUCUGUCACCUCUCUGAAGACCUGGUUCAUAUCUGCAGCUGCAACUCUAUCCCUGAACUCAUCUUUGAAACUACCCAGAGACUGUCAAGAGCUUCAGAGCUUUACAACAGGAUCUUCCAAGUGCCCUGAGAGGUCAUGAUGGAGCCAAUAGAAAUAAAUCAUACAAAACAAAGCCAGAACCUGGUGGGAGGGAUGCUUACAAAACAACAUAAACGAGAAGUUGUCUGAAAAAAAAUUGUAUGGAAGGAAGAAGAGAUGAGAUAAGGGAAAUGAACUCAUAAUAGCCCCAGUUAAAAUACUUACAGUAAAAUAUCAUUAGUACUACUUGAUGUUGGUGAAAGGCUCUAGACUCAAGUCAGAAGGCCCAAUUUGUUGCUGUGAUUUCUUGAACAAAUUAUGUAAUUGUGUUGAGAUUCAGUUUUCUUUUCUAUCAUUGGGUAUUAAUAACUUCUAUGUGAUGUCAGAGUUAUGAUGUGAAGUUAAAAUAACUAAUAAAUGGGUAAACCCUGAAAA
RNAcentral lists this long non-coding RNA (673 nucleotides) under Homo sapiens (human). RNAcentral describes it as "long intergenic non-protein coding RNA 2552". The record is from RNAcentral. Lineage: Eukaryota; Metazoa; Chordata; Mammalia; Primates; Hominidae.